This 87-nucleotide non-coding RNA is filed under the name Arsukibacterium sp. MJ3. RNAcentral's name for it is "c-di-GMP-I riboswitch aptamer". It matches the Rfam family "c-di-GMP-I riboswitch aptamer". From Rfam's summary of the family: GEMM was predicted in a large-scale screen for bacterial structured RNA regulatory elements. Genes associated with GEMM are involved in a diverse array of functions, including chemotaxis regulation, signal transduction, secretion and chitin. RNAcentral also lists the same sequence under 1 other name. Lineage: Bacteria; Pseudomonadati; Pseudomonadota; Gammaproteobacteria; Chromatiales; Chromatiaceae. The record is from Rfam by way of RNAcentral.
AUUCAGCCAAGGCACGUCAGGUGAAAACCUGCUCACGCAAAGCCAUGGGCCUAAUACUUAAACAGUGAAGGCUGCCAGGUUGCAAUU